This 506-nucleotide ribosomal RNA is filed under the name uncultured bacterium. RNAcentral describes it as "bacterial SSU rRNA". It matches the Rfam family "Bacterial small subunit ribosomal RNA", at positions 30 to 524 of the family's 1533-position model. The record is from RNAcentral.
AUUGAACGCUGGCGGAAUGCUUUACACAUGCAAGUCGAACGGCAGCACGGGAGCUUGCUCCUGGUGGCGAGUGGCGAACGGGUGAGUAAUGCGUCGGAACGUACCGAGUAAUGGGGGGAUAACGCAGCGAAAGCUGUGCUAAUACCGCAUACGCCCUGAGGGGGAAAGUGGGGGAUCGCAAGACCUCACGUUAUUCGAGCGGCCGACGUCUGAUUAGCUAGUUGGUGGGGUUAAGGCCUACCAAGGCGACGAUCAGUAGCGGGUCUGAGAGGAUGAUCCGCCACACUGGAACUGAGACACGGUCCAGACUCCUACGGGAGGCAGCAGUGGGGAAUUUUGGACAAUGGGGGCAACCCUGAUCCAGCCAUUCCGCGUGAGUGAAGAAGGCCUCGGGUUGUAAAGGCUCUUUCUAGCUGGAACGAAACGGUACAUCCUAAUACGGUGUGCUAAUGACGGUACCAGCAGAAGAAGACACCGGCUAACUACGUGCCAGCAGCCGCGGUAAU